GACGAACGCUGGCGGCGUGCUUAACACAUGCAAGUCGAACGGAAAGGCCUGCUUUCCCUUGUGUAUUGCGGGUACUCGAGUGGCGAACGGGUGAGUAACACGUGAGUGAUCUGCCCCCAACUUGGGUAUAAGCCUGGGAAACUGGGUCUAAUUCCCGACAGGUCCGCAGGGUGGUUCCUGUGGUGGAAAACGAUUUUCUAGUGGUUGGGGAUGAGCUCGCGGCCUAUCAGCUUGUUGGUGGGGUAAUGGGCUACCAAGGCGGCGACGGGUAGCCGGCCCGGGAGGGCGGACGGGCACGUUGGGCCUGAGAUACGGCCCAGACUACUACGGGAGGCAGCAGUGGGGAAUAUUGCACAAUGGGCGGAAGCCUGAUGCAGCGACGCCGCGUGGGGGAUGCCGGCCUUCGGGUUGUGAACUCCUUUCGGCCGCGAGGAAGCCACCUGGUUGGAAGGGUGGUGACGGUAGUGGUAGAAGAAGCACCGGCUAACUACGUG
RNAcentral lists this ribosomal RNA (494 nucleotides) under uncultured bacterium. RNAcentral's name for it is "partial 16S ribosomal RNA". It matches the Rfam family "Bacterial small subunit ribosomal RNA", at positions 28 to 507 of the family's 1533-position model. The record is from RNAcentral.